Schistosoma curassoni is the source of this 38-nucleotide non-coding RNA. The record is from Rfam. NCBI's taxonomy places the organism in Eukaryota, Metazoa, Platyhelminthes, Trematoda, Strigeidida, Schistosomatidae.
UGCUGAAGAGUCUCACAAUAGGACGAAACGGCCGUCCA